GAAAUGCGAUAAGUAAUGUGAAUUGCAGAAUUCAGUGAAUCAUCGAAUCUUUGAACGCACAUUGCGCCCGCCAGUAUUCUGGCGGGCAUGCCUGUCCGAGCGUCAUUUCAACCAUCAAGCCCCCGGGCCUGUGUUGGGGACCUGCGGCUGCCCGCAGGCCCUGAAAACCAGUGGCGGGCUCGCUGUCACACCGAGCGUAGUAGCAAUCACCUCGCUCAGGGCGUGCUGCGGGUUCCGGCCGUUAAACAGCCUUACAAAACCCAAGGUUGACCUCGGAUCAGGUAGGAAGACCCGCUGAACUUAAGC
Molecule: unclassified non-coding RNA, 306 nt
Filed under: plant metagenome
Description: partial contains 5.8S ribosomal RNA, internal transcribed spacer 2, and large subunit ribosomal RNA
Rfam family: 5.8S ribosomal RNA (bases 1-105)
Source: RNAcentral